AAUAUUUUUAACCGAAAAAAAAUUUAAACGAAUAUAUAAACGUUUUGGGCACCCGUUAAUUAACAAAUUAUAAUAAUUUUUAUAACGGAUAAAAAAAACAAAUUUUAAAAUUAUAAAAAUAAUUAACAAAAUUUGCCAUUUUUGCCAAAAAAAGGGAAAAACGCCCCAACGUUUUAAAUUCGCUUUAAAAAAUAUAAUCGAUUUUAAUUACAAAAUAAUCGUUAAUAUAAUAUUUUUGAAAAAACGCCCGGUAUUUUAUAUAAUUAACGCAAAUAUUAUUUUCCAAAUAAUUGAGUUUUUAACGGAUAUAUUAAUUAAAAAAACCUGGAAAACGUUAAAAUAAUAUUAAAUCGAGAUAUAUUUAAAAUUAUUUAACGUAUUACCGUUCGACCCGGAAUUUAAUUCUUAUAUAACCGAAUUCCACGCAAAAAUACGGCUAUUGGAUAAAUUAUAUAACCAAAUACCGAUAAAAAUAUAUUGGAUAAUAAAUAAAAUCGGAAAAUUCCAUAUACCGUUAAAACAAAUUUACGAAAUUAUUUGUGCCAAAUACGGUACGGAAUAUUUAUAAAAGAUUAUUUUGCAAAUAACGGUAAAAACGGUUAAUAAUAUCGCAAAACCAAACGGUUUGGUAUUAAUAUUAUUGGUAUUUGGAAUAAUAUUUAAAAUUAUAAUAAAUUUGUUUCCAAUACCCAACCAAAUAAAACAAACGGCGGUAAUUAAUAAAAUUAUAACGGAAUUACGGAAAUUUAACGUUAAAAAAAUUAAACGACGCGUUAACCGCAAAAAACGGCCCAGAAUGAUCAAACCGAUUUUUAUAUACGUUAAAAUUAAAUAUAAAAAUAUUAAUAUACCGAAGAAAAAAUAAUUGGAAUAAUUUAUAUAAAAUUGUUUUAAUAACGGAAAAUAACGUAAAAACUACCUUUUCCAACGGAAAUUCGGAUUUUAAAAAUAUCCACGUAAAAUUAUACUAUUAAUAUUAAAACCAGGAAAAAGAAAUACAAAAAAAAUAAUUUCGUUUAUUUUUAAAAAAAAUUAUUUACGGUUUAGGAGAAAAUUAAAAACGGUACCGAAAACGUCCAAAAAAUUAUUAAUAAUAAUAGCAAUUAAUCCAACGUAAAAACCGCUUUUUAAUUUAGGGGUAAUUGCCCCUAAAACGAAUAUUAUACCAAGCGAUCGGACGAUUAAAAUAAUAAUUAAACCCGAAAAAUACCGACGUAAUAAACGAAAUAAAAAACCCAAAAUGCAAUUUAAUACGCUAAUAUCGAAUAAAACAAACCACGUUUAUAACCUGGUUAUUAAAUAUAAAAUAAGAAAUAAAAUUACAAUCCCACAAAUUUUAUUUAAAUAAUUAAACGCCGCCGAAAUCGAAAUAUUAUUAAAUGCGGGGAUUUUGUAACCAGUAUUAAAAAAUAACGUACGUGGCCGGAUUUUGGGCGUUAAAAUAAUAUAAAAAAUUAAAAAAACGCCGGAACGGCCGUAUAAAAAAUCGAAAUUAAUGGUUUAAAAUUAUAAUAAUUAGGAAAAAAAAACUUUUUAACGCAAACGUUAACAAUUAUAAAAUAUAAUUAACAUUUAAUUUUUUCGAUCGCACUAAAUUUAAUAAAACGUUGCGGGUAUAAAUUUAUAAUCCGAAAUAUAAAUUAAACGUAAACCCAAUUAAAAAACCAAUUAAUAAAAAGCGUUUUGGUGCGGAUAUUGAAAAAAUUAUAAUAUAAAUAUCCACGAAAUAUAUAUUUAAAAAUUUAUAAAUUAUUAUACGGCCUAACCGAAUUAAAUUUAUAUUAAUUUAAUAUAUAUUAACGUUAUUAUAAAAAACGGUUAAAUUGCAAAAUUUCGACUUAUAAUAUUUAUUUGUUAAUAAUAAAAAAUAACCCGUUUAAAUUCGUCGGAUUUUAAACGGAUAAUAUAUUAAAUUUGGACGAUCCAAAUUUUAUAAUAACGAAAAAAACAAAAUUCUAACAAACAAAAUUUUUUAUAAAAUUCCAAAAAGUCCUGCAGGAAAAUAAUAUAAAAAAUUUCAACGGUUGCAAAAUAACGUUAAAAAACGGUAUUAUUAUAAUAUAAUAAAAAAAACAAACAAAUU
This 2083-nucleotide small RNA is filed under the name Pyricularia oryzae. Its description in RNAcentral is "Magnaporthe oryzae sRNA M_BR32_EuGene_00147751". The record is from RNAcentral. Lineage: Eukaryota; Fungi; Ascomycota; Sordariomycetes; Magnaporthales; Pyriculariaceae.